AAGGAGCUCACAGUCUAUUGAG
RNAcentral lists this microRNA (22 nucleotides) under Dasypus novemcinctus (nine-banded armadillo). RNAcentral's name for it is "dno-miR-28-5p". Its record names the gene dno-miR-28-5p. Lineage: Eukaryota; Metazoa; Chordata; Mammalia; Cingulata; Dasypodidae. RNAcentral also lists the same sequence under 24 other names. The record is from miRBase by way of RNAcentral.